Molecule: non-coding RNA, 24 nt
Filed under: Cricetulus griseus (Chinese hamster)
Lineage: Eukaryota; Metazoa; Chordata; Mammalia; Rodentia; Cricetidae
Source: RNAcentral
AUGCCUUAAGGUGACUGGUGGAGG